GCGCGCGUGGCGGAAUUGGUAGACGCGGCAGGUUUAGGUCCUGUUGUCGAUGAGACGUGGGGGUUCGAGUCCCUCCGCGCGCACCA
This 86-nucleotide transfer RNA is filed under the name Sphingomonas sp. RNAcentral describes it as "tRNA-Leu". It matches the Rfam family "tRNA". Rfam says of the family: Transfer RNA (tRNA) molecules are approximately 80 nucleotides in length. Lineage: Bacteria; Pseudomonadati; Pseudomonadota; Alphaproteobacteria; Sphingomonadales; Sphingomonadaceae. RNAcentral also lists the same sequence under 4 other names. The record is from RNAcentral.